RNAcentral lists this ribosomal RNA (449 nucleotides) under uncultured bacterium. Its description in RNAcentral is "partial 16S ribosomal RNA". It matches the Rfam family "Bacterial small subunit ribosomal RNA", at positions 29 to 523 of the family's 1533-position model. The record is from RNAcentral.
AACGAACGCUGGCGGCAUGCCUAACACAUGCAAAUCGAACGAGAUCUUCGGGUCUAGUGGCGCACGGGUGCGUAACGCGUGGGAAUCUGCCCUUUGGUUCGGAAUAACAGUUGGAAACGACUGCUAAUACCGGAUGAUGACGAAAGUCCAAAGAUUUAUCGCCAGAGGAUGAGCCCGCGUAGGAUUAGCUAGGUGGUGUGGUAAAGGCGCACCAAGGCGACGAUCCUUAGCUGGUCUGAGAGGAUGAUCAGCCACACUGGGACUGAGACACGGCCCAGACUCCUACGGGAGGCAGCAGUGGGGAAUAUUGGACAAUGGGCGAAAGCCUGAUCCAGCAAUGCCGCGUGAGUGAUGAAGGCCUUAGGGUUGUAAAGCUCUUUUACACGGGAUGAUAAUGACAGUACCGGGAGAAUAAGCUCCGGCUAACUCCGUGCCAGCAGCCGCCGUAA